CGGGGCGUGGCGCAGCCCGGUAGCGCGCCUGCUUUGGGAGCAGGAUGUCGGAGGUUCAAAUCCUCUCGCCCCGACCA
This 77-nucleotide transfer RNA is filed under the name Deltaproteobacteria bacterium RBG_16_42_7. RNAcentral describes it as "tRNA-Pro". It matches the Rfam family "tRNA". Rfam says of the family: Transfer RNA (tRNA) molecules are approximately 80 nucleotides in length. Their secondary structure includes four short double-helical elements and three loops (D, anti-codon, and T loops). Lineage: Bacteria; Deltaproteobacteria. RNAcentral also lists the same sequence under 2 other names. The record is from RNAcentral.